UUAUAUAUUAAGUAAUCUCGAUAGACGUGUUAUCAACUAUUCACCUUCUUCUUCAUUCAAAGAACCCUACCCGUCGCCGCCCUAGUUGUUCCGUCUUUGUUCGUCGUUCGUUGACCACCGUCGACGACUCACCGUUCGCCUCACCCAAGCCCAAGUGUCGUCCUUUGGAGCUAAGCGUCACCCCUUCCAGCAUUUCACCAGCCAUCCAUCCAUCUUGUCUCCUCCUCGUCUGUGGCCACCAUCUCGUCGUCAUCGUUUCGUCAACCAUUUACCUCUGUCUCAGUCUAAGCCGCAACCUCUCCACUUCGCAAGUCGAUUAGUUCGUGAGUCGUUCGCGAGCCGUCCUCCUUUACAUCCGAGCCUAUCUCCUCUAUAAAGGGAGUCGAGGCUUUCUUGUCCAAGCCAAUUUAGCAAGCGAAACCUCAUAUUCCUUCAGCAAUUGGAGUCGGUAAGUUUUGUUAGAUUGGGUACAUGCGAACAUUUAUCCCUUGGAUUUUAAAUAAGUUUAUAAUUAGAACAAUUGGAAUGAGUUGGAUUAUUUUUACUUAGAGAUUUGGCUAAAUUUAAAUGAAAGAUUUGAUAUGUGGAUUUUUACCAUUUAAGGUUGUUUUGGUUUCAACUUAGCCUUGGGAUAAGUUUGAAUGCUUAAGUAGAUAUUUGGAUGAUUGGUUGACAAAAUUAUUAAUUUUAAUUUUGUCUAUGUUUAGAACUGAGUUAAUUGGAAAUUGACUGUCACGAAAGGAGAAUGAGAUUCUACUAUUAGACCAUCAAUAUUAGAUUAAAGAGUUUGCUUGUAUGUUUUUCCUUAUUAUGCAUUAACAUAACCAUAAUGCAUGAUGUGACUGUUAGAGAUGACUGAUACGACUACAUAAUGGCUACAUAGACAACUCUUAUGUAUGACUGAGAUAUAUAUAUAUGUAAUGAGUUAUGUGAUGGUGAUAUGUUAUGAAUGAGAUAACUAUGAGAUUGUGAUACGUUUUGAUUGAGCAAGUAUGGCUUCUAGUUUCUCAUAUCAGUAUAUAGGACGACAACUGCUCUUAAAAUGUAUGGCUUCUAUCAAUCAACGAGUGCUCCGGAGUCUAUCCACUCAACAAUGUCUACCACUAGUACAAAAGUGGUCUAGAACGACAGUUAUUUAUUGUCGUAAACGAAUUUCGCGACAAUUAUUUUCAGUCAUAGAAGCGGGAGUCAUGGAAAGUCCUUCGACGACAGUUUUCGAAAACUGUCGCAAUAAGUUAUUUUAUGACAUAAAAUAAAUGUCGUUAAUCAACAUUCAACGACUUCAAAUAACUGUCAUAAUUAUUUUAUGACAUUCGAUAACUAUCAUCAUUUCUUUAUUAA
Molecule: long non-coding RNA, 1341 nt
Filed under: Cucumis sativus (cucumber)
Lineage: Eukaryota; Viridiplantae; Streptophyta; Magnoliopsida; Cucurbitales; Cucurbitaceae
Description: long non-coding RNA (CSAT_LNC002576)
Source: RNAcentral